RNAcentral lists this unclassified non-coding RNA (612 nucleotides) under uncultured Suillus. RNAcentral's name for it is "sequence contains ITS1, 5.8S rRNA gene, ITS2". The stretch from base 221 to 375 matches the Rfam family "5.8S ribosomal RNA". The record is from RNAcentral. Lineage: Eukaryota; Fungi; Basidiomycota; Agaricomycetes; Boletales; Suillaceae.
GGAAGGAUCAUUAAUGAAAUUACAAUCCGGCGAGGGAAAGGCGGAGAGUUGUAGCUGGCCCCUCCGGGCAUGUGCACGCUCUCUUCCGGACUUUCGCCGUAUGGGCGCGGGGCGACCCGCGUCUUCAUAUACCUCUUCGUGUAGAAAGUCUUUGAAUGUCGAAACCAUCAUCGAGUCGCGACUUCUAGGAGACGCGAUUCUUUGAGACAAAAGUUAUUACAACUUUCAGCAACGGAUCUCUUGGCUCUCGCAUCGAUGAAGAACGCAGCGAAUCGCGAUAUGUAAUGUGAAUUGCAGAUCUACAGUGAAUCAUCGAAUCUUUGAACGCACCUUGCGCUCCUCGGUGUUCCGAGGAGCAUGCCUGUUUGAGUGUCAGUAAAUUCUCAACCCCUCUCGAUUUGCUUCGAGAGGGCGCUUGGAUGGUGGAGGCUGCCGGAGACCUGGAUUCGUUCAGGACUCGGGCUCCUCUGAAAUGAAUCGGCUUGCGGUCGACCUUCGACUUUGCAUGACAAGGCCUUUGGCGUGAUAAUGAUCGCCGUUCGCCGAAGUGCACGACAGAAAACGGUCCCGCGCCUCUAAUGCGUCGACGCCUUCCGGGCGUCUUCCUCAUUG